This 219-nucleotide ribosomal RNA is filed under the name uncultured bacterium. Its description in RNAcentral is "partial 16S ribosomal RNA". It matches the Rfam family "Bacterial small subunit ribosomal RNA", at positions 944 to 1167 of the family's 1533-position model. The record is from RNAcentral.
GGUUAAUUCGAUGAUACGCGAGGACUACCGGCGUUGAAUUGCAGAGGAAGGAUUUGGAGACAAUGACGCCCUUCGGGGUCUCUGUGAAGGUGCUGCAUGGUUGUCGUCAGCUCGUGCCGUGAGGUGUCGGCUUAAGUGCCAUAACGAGCGCAACCCCUCUCCUUAGUUGCCAUCAGGUAAAGCUGGGCACUCUGGGGACACUGCCACCGUAAGGUGUGA